This 492-nucleotide ribosomal RNA is filed under the name gamma proteobacterium I-15. RNAcentral describes it as "bacterial SSU rRNA". It matches the Rfam family "Bacterial small subunit ribosomal RNA", at positions 389 to 873 of the family's 1533-position model. The record is from RNAcentral. Lineage: Bacteria; Pseudomonadati; Pseudomonadota; Gammaproteobacteria.
CAGCCAUGCCGCGUGUAUGAAGAAGGCCUUCGGGUUGUAAAGUACUUUCAGUGGUGAGGAAGGGAGUGUGGUUAAUAGCCAUAUUCUUUGACGUUAGCCACAGAAGAAGCACCGGCUAACUCCGUGCCAGCAGCCGCGGUAAUACGGAGGGUGCGAGCGUUAAUCGGAAUUACUGGGCGUAAAGCGCAUGCAGGUGGUUUGUUAAGUCAGAUGUGAAAGCCCGGGGCUCAACCUCGGAGUUGCAUUUGAAACUGGCAGGCUAGAGUACUGUAGAGGGGGGUAGAAUUUCAGGUGUAGCGGUGAAAUGCGUAGAGAUCUGAAGGAAUACCGGUGGCGAAGGCGGCCCCCUGGACAGAUACUGACACUCAGAUGCGAAAGCGUGGGGAGCAAACAGGAUUAGAUACCCUGGUAGUCCACGCCGUAAACGAUGUCUACUUGGAGGUUGCGGUCUUGAACUGUGGCUUUCGGAGCUAACGCGUUAAGUAGACCGCC